CCCUGCGCGCCGCGCGAUCGCGGGCUCCCGGCCCGGCCGGCCGUAUUUAUAGGUGCGCGCGCCCCGCGCUCGCGCUCCGAAGCGCUCCUUGCAAUAACACAGUAUCACGUGUGGGGAAUGAGACCUGGGAGGAAAACAAAGCCGCAGGCGGAGUCCGCAGCGGCGGGAGGCGACCGUGCAGGAGGAGGUGGAAGAGGAGGAGGAAGGCAGAGCCCGGCGCGUGGCAGGGCGGGGGCUCGCCCGACCGCUCCCCACGGUCCCAGCUGUUCCUGGGGCGCGCGGAAGCCAGGUGCUGGAGGCGAGCACGUCACUCCGGUACGCUCGGGCGGAGAAUCGCGGGUGUCCACAGCCCGAGUAAAUUAAGUAGCGGAGAGCAAGCGUUCGCGGCUCAGGGAUGUGCUGCCAACCCCGACUCCUCCAGAGAUAGGGAAAGGAAGCUGCUCAUGCCUUGGGAUUUUGCAUGUUGUGUGGCGAUCAUCUUUCCAUUUGGAAUAUCCUUCUGUAGCCUCGCCGAUGGCUCCUGGUGCUCGACUAGAUGGAGCAAUGGUAAGUUACUAAACUCCUGCAUUUCUAAGUUUGUUGGCCCCAUUUCUGCCCUCAAGAAAGCAGCAGUGACAAUCUUUCAGUCUUUCUACUAUGAAGCAAGUCUGUCUAUCUGUAGCUAUCUGUGUUUAUUUAUUGCCUUGGGGACUCAGGAUUGCACUCAUCCUAGGCAAGCAUUCCACCACUACGCUUUACCCCAGCUCUCUUUUCUUGUUUCUAAAUUUUGAGACAGGUCUCUGGAAUCUAGGGUGGCCAUGAACUCCUGCCUCAGUUCCCAGACAGCUAGGAUGACAGACCUAUCACAUGAUAUCCCAGACUAUCAUACAAUAUGAACGUUUUUUAGUUUAAAUAUCUUCCAGGGUGGAUGGCACACCCCAUCUUAAGGCCUUCUGUCCAGAGAAGAUCUAAUCUGCCUCCUGAAAUUCUUGGUGGGUAUGAAUAUGUUUUCAGCAAAUCCAUUUAUUUGACCAUUUGAUAUAACUCUGCUUAUUUUAAGUUUCAAGUACGCAAAUUGAUUUCAAAUGUUUAUUAGAUAAUCAAACAGGAAUCGAUGUUUUUUUAGUCUCCAUGUUUCUGUGAUCCCCUGGUGGGGGUCCUGAGAGAUGAUUUAUUGCUCCCUAACUGUGUAUCAGCCAUAGUGUACUGGACCACCGGUAGUGGUGAAGGGGCAUUGUCAUUGACAUUUUAAAGGCAAGACAGAGAGAAAUUGAGUAAAGCUAUCUGGCCAGCACACAGAUCCCACUGGCUCCCAGACCCGUGCAUGUUUCUGCUCCCUCUACUGGUAAGGCUAUUUUAUAGGCAGAGUCAGUCUCCACAUUUCAUCCCAUAUUCAUCCUUGAGAGUCGACUAGAAUAGAAAUACAAACUGUGAGGCCGGGCCGUGGUGGUGCACAUCUUUAAUCCCAGCAUUCGGGAGGCAGAGCUAGGUGGAUCUCUGUGAGUUCCAGGCCAGCCUGAUCUACAAAGUGAGAUCCAAGACAGUCGCAAAGCUACACAGAGAAACCCUGUCUCCAAAAACAAAACAACAAACAAACAAACGAACAAACAGAAAGAAACACAAACUGUGGAGGAAGAGAUCUGGGCUCCUAGGGUAGGUCCUUAACCUCUCUGAACUCAUUUCCUCUCUGGGUUGCUCCGGUUUUCAGAGGAACCCGCACAAGAAAUGUCUGGUAAUCCCUGAUGUACUUUUAAAUGCAAGGCAUCAUUAGCACCAUCCAAAUCUGCUUAGGUCCUGAAUUAUUCCAAAUUCAUUAAUCUUUAACUUUUAGUUGUUGGAUCAUUUAUUAUUGAACAACUUCUAUGUGCCCAGUGCCAGUGUGGGACAAAGGGAUAAAAAAGUGUGGCUUGUAUCUGCUCGUACCCUUGAUGGUUAAAACAGGAAAACAGGAGCUCAAGGACACAUUUAAAGGAAGGGUCUAAGCCAGCCAAUUGCCAAAUGAGCAAGAAUUAGAAUUGGAAAAGGGACUUGGGGGGGGGGGUUGAGUGAGGGUUUCUCUGUGUAGCCCUUGGCUGUCCUGGAACUCGCUCCAUAGGCCAGGCUGGCCUGGAACUCAGAGAUCCACCUGCCUCUGCCUCCUGAGUGCUGGGGUUAAAGGCGUGCGCCACCACUGCCCAGCUUUGAAAAAGGAGCUUUUAAUUUGAAGUGAGACCUGUUAGGGGAGGCAUUAAGCAAGACCAGAAUUUGAGCUGGUCUAGGAAGUUCCUGUGGUCUGGACCCCACAUGUGAUAAAAGGUUUGGAGCUAGGCUGGGUUUUUAGAAGGUCGGCACUGUUGAGAGGAAGGUAGGUCAUUGAGCGCAUGCCCCUGAAAGAUGUGGGAUUCUGACGUUCAUUUAGCAUCCCAACCUUGAGGUGGGUGGCUUUGCUCACCUCAUACCCCACCAUAAUGUGCUGCUUUAUCAUUGGUCCAAAAGCUUUGGGGGCAAUCAUUUAUGACAGAAAGCUUCAAAAUGAUGAACUAAAAUCAACCUUUUUUUAAAAAAUGUAUUUUUAAUGUUUUAUUGUGCACACACAUACGUGUGUGUGUGUGUGUGUGUGUGAGAGAGAGAGAGAGAGAGAGAGAGAGAGAGAGAGAGAGAGAGAGAGAGAGCAUGUAUGUUUCCACCAUGUGGCCUUGGGCAUUAAAUUGAAAUCAUCAGGCUUGGCAGCUGGAGCCUCUGUCUGCUGAACCACCUCUUUUAAAUUUUUUCUCUGUGAGUUGAUUAGCAUUUGUUACAGAAAUAGGUAACCAACUUCAGAGUCUUGCGUUUAAAUCCCUUACGCACUGGAGCCAUACAGGACUAGAAAGUGAAAUACAAUUCUCCCCUCAACCCACCCUCAUUUUCACCUUCGUAUCACCCCUUUUAACGUCUGGAAGCUUCCUUUGCCUCCAUGGACCCAAAAUGCAUGCACUGUUUAGAUCAACAAAUUCGGCACCUGGGCUUUUACACACACACACACACACACACACACACACACACACACACACACACACAAGCAGAACCUGCAUAAAACUGCUGACUCUUAAAAAUAAUCCAGUAAACCAGUAAGUCUGAAAAUUGGCUUAGAAACGGCAGUGGACAUCACUCAGAAGUUGACACAGGAGAAAUAAGUCUUUAGACUCAGAAGCACCCAGGCUCUGGUGUCAGCGCGGGUCCUUAUAAGCAGGUCGCCAGCUUGGACAGGUUCUCAGCUCCCUGUUUUGGUGUCCUGGUGUGUCAAGGUGGGGUUAGUGGCAUUUUACCUUGCAGAGUUAGGAGCGUUGCCGGUGAUGUGAGUUAUGUAACCAGCACCCGGCUGUCUGGCACUCACAGAUAGCUAUUUUUAGAAAGAUGCAAACUAUAGGAGCCUCACAGAAGGGCCAGGAUGCUUUGGGUCGUAGUUGUUUGUGGUUUUCCUCAUGCAGGAAGGAUCAGAAGAGACCCUGGCCAUUGGCUCCAGCAGAUCAGGUUAUUUUACAUUUGUUCCACCAAAGUGGAGCCCUGUCCCUCACUGCUGGGACACAGACUAGUGGGUCUAAAAUUAGAGGCAUGGUGUCCUGAGAAGCCUGCUUUCCCGUGCCCAGUGAAAUGCCCUAAGACAAGAGAGGGGACCUGGGCCCAAGGCCCCAUGCUUUGAGAAGCUGACCUUGCUUGAACAUGUGUGGCCUCUGUUGCCUUGGGAGAAUGGGGACAAAGAGGGAAGACAAGACAACUUGUCGUGGGAAGCUUCACUCCUUUCCUGGUUCUCCCCGGGACUUCUGGGAUGGGAUACAGCAUUGGAGGGAAAUCGGAAGCUGAGGGAUAUUAAAAAGAAGUCACUGGGUAGCACAUAGCCCCAUACAGCAGCUUAUGAGCUGUGACUUGUAGCCCUCAUCCCCAUAUUUCCUAAGUGCCAGUCCCAUGCCAGGUUCUCAACUAGAUUCUGUUACUUCUAGGGCAGGUGAGAAGUGGGCCUAUCCUGGAGCUUCCAGCGGAGAAAUUCAGGGUAGUGUCUGCACUCGGGUGCAGUGAGUGUUGACGAGAAAAGGAAGGAGAAAGUAAGGGGACAACAGGCUCCAUGCCAGCCCCCGGCACGGCUCCCAGGACAGCGCUUCAACCACUGCUACCAAGGCCACUCUCAGGACAGGGAUUCCUCUCUCUCUCUCUCUCUCUCUCUCUCUCUCUCUCUCUCUCUCUCUCUCUCUCUCUCUCCUUCCCUCCCUCCCUCCCUCUUUCUCUCUCUUUUUUUCGUUCGUUCAUUCAUUUUUUCGAGACAGGGUUUCUCUGUGUAGCCCUGACUGUCCUGGAACUCCCUCUGUAGACCAGGCUGGCCUUGAACUCACAACUUUUAAUGAACUCAUUAAAGGCAUGCGCCACCACUGCCCAGCUCAGGCCAGGGCUUCUUAAACUCUUCCAAUCACAACCCCUUUCGCCAAAGAAAUUUUUAUGUGACCAUAGCACACAGGUAUAUAAAAUAUGUACACAAAACAUUUACCGGCAAUAAAUCAUGAAAUUUGUUUAAAACAAUUCUGAUACUCAUAUAAAUUUGCCAUUUAUUAAAGACGACUUUAAAUUUAUGCACUAGCGAUGUAUUUAAAGCUGAGCUCUGUCCGAUAUUUGACAGUACAGGACGCAAAGCGUCUUGGUUAUUUUCAGAGUUGAUUCAUCAGUGCUGAGAACACCACCUCACAUGAACACACAGCACAAAACAGUGGGCGUGGGUGCUGAGGAGACGGUGCGCACUGAGGAGCCGGUGCGUCUGUUAAGAGCACUCGUUGCUCUUGCGAGGACCCAGGUUUGGUUCCCAGCAGCCAGCUGGUGGCUUUCAAUCAUCCCUCAUGCCAACUCCAGGAAAUCCAGCGCCGCCCUCUGACCUCUGUGGGCACCAGGUCUGAGCUGUUUCAGGUAGUGAGCUACUGAUCACUACUGUGUUGCCGGUGAGACCACAUGCAUGGUGACACAUGUGUAUGUUCUGUGUUCAGAAGCAAGGCCUCAGUGAAGUCCCAGGGCAACACAACUGAGCACUAACUCUGCUAGAAAUACUAGAAUCUGUUAGGUGUUUGAUUUUUUAAAUUUUUGGCUAUUGAUCAUUCAGAAACCUGUUUGCAAUCUCCAUGUUCAGUUACUCAAGCCAUUGGGGUUUCAACCCGCAGUUAAGAAGCAGAGGUCUAGGACAGUCAGUAUCUCCCCACUUCCUUCCUUGACUUGACCUCCGAGUCUCUACUUCCUGCCUAAGAACUCAUCAUGUCCUCAUCAACGGCACCAGCAACCUCCAACACUGUUCAAGCACAGGCUCAAACAACGUGGGACCACUGUUUUCUUUAGACACCUGAGGCCUGUGGGGACAGGAAGACAUUGUUGUGGGAGAAUCUUUUUGUACACUGUGAAGAUGUGUCUUUGCUAAGGCACCUCUGACUGGUUUAAUAAAAGAGCUGAACAGCCAAUAGCUAGGCAGGAGAGGAUAGGCGGGACUUCUGGGGAAAGAGAGGAACUCUGGGAAGGAGAGGUGGAAUUUGCCAGUGAGACUCGGAGGGAGUUGGAUGUACGGUAUGGAGGCACAUUGCAGAACAUAGAUUAAUAUAAAUGGGUUAAUUUAAGUUAUAAGAGCCAUGCUUUCAUACUUAAUGAGAUGUCUCUGUGUCAUUAUUUGGGAGCUGGCGGUUUAAAGAAAGUCGACUACACAGUAUUUCACUGCAUUCCCUGUCAAGGACUGUGCACGGCCUUCUGGUUUUUAUGAUUUGUGUGCAAAGGCACUGGGUCUCUCCACUUGAGGAAUGGACAGCUCCAUAACUGAGCAUGGCUGAUUUGUUAAGAGUCAUACUUUAUGUCAGGAAUGGCUCUCAGUGCCCCAUCCACCUGGGGGCAGUUCUGGGCAACCCUUCCUCUCCUCAGUCUUGUUAAAGGACAGAGACAGUGGUGCAGGAGCAUUUAGUCUUCAGUUCCCCUCAGAUUCUUUCCUGGGUGGAGCUCAGCCAGUUGUAGGAGGAAGAGGGACACACAAGACCACCCCUGCUUCAGCCAGCAAUUGGCUGCCCUUCCUGGGUCCCUUAGCUCAGGGCCCCAUGAGCAUCUCCUCAAGUAUAAUAAUUGACUGUGAUGCUCACAGAAAUCAGGGAAAUGCUCAUGUCUUCCAGCUUAUUAAAAGGAUGUUGCCGAGGAUCUCCCUGAACAGCUGAGUGAAGAGGUACACAGGUGACAGGCAGGGCCUUCAUGGGAGCAGAGCAUGCCAUCCUAGCAUGGUGGAGAUGUGUCCCUCAGGCGUGCUGGAUUAACUCUGGUCCCUCUCCCCAGAGGGAAGGGAUGAGGCUCAAAGUUCCAAGCUUCUACUCACCUCAAUGCCACAGAGUGUUCUAUAUUUUAUAGAAUAUAGGAGCUCUGAGUCAAGACUAGGCUCCAAGACCAGAUUAGAGCAAAGUAUGCUUCUAGGCUCCUAUCAAUCAGAGGCUUAUGGGGGAUGGGGAUCUCUGUGCUAGGAACAAGGACCAGAGACCAAAUGUGUGUUUCUUAGUGUACCACACUGCCUCAGGCAUUGACUGCCAUGGAAGAAACCUGGCAGAAAAAACUGUCAGGAGAACUGAUUCAGAUGCUUUUGUGAGGAGGUCCCGGCAGAGUAUUGUUCAUUCCUAGACUCCCUGUGUGGUCAAGAUGCAGAAUUUAAAUGAUAUUUUGAUUGGCAUAAGAAAAUCCACAAGUUUUCUUUCUUCUAUUACCUUUGCACUUAAAAUAUAACAAAGGAAAGCUAGUUUUAUUUUCUUUGAAGUUAGACUGGGACACAUGAAGAGCCAGCUUAUAGACAAUAAGAAGCCCCUUUUGCUGGAAUUACAGCUUGUAAACACAAGACUUCUGGAUGGCCUCUGUGUAUACAUGUGCCUCUGGACACAGACACAUGAACAUAUCACAAGCGCACGCACGUGCGUGCACACACACCCACAUAUACCCCAGCACAAAGUAGGCCAGGCAUGAGUCAAGGCUGCCUCCAGGCCUCUGUGUUCUCCAGCACAGCCAAUCCCUUCUGUUUUUGCAUUUCCUUGGAUUAUUUACACAUCCAAGUGGAAUUGAGGUGUCCAAGUUCUGUGGGAAGUGUUGCCAGUGUGCCUGCUGCUGGGAUGCUCAGCUAGAUGAUGCUUAUCCAUGAUGAUGAUGGCCCAUGGGAGUCCUUUACAGUUGGAUGUACAACUUCCCCGGAGAGGCAACUCACAAAGGUGAGAAGCAGAUGGCUAGCAACCAUCACUUGAGGGAAAGAGGCAGAACAGCGGAAGUGCAGAUCAGAGCAACCUCUAUGAGGAACCAUUUGACAACUGUGUCAGGAGCCUUAAACUGUUGUCAAUGACUGUUGAAUGGGUGGUGCAUGCCUGGAACCUCAGCCUGGAGGCUUCCACAGGAGGAUUAUUAGUUCAAGGUCAGUCUGGCUGCAUGGUAAGAGCCUGGUUCACAACAAAAAGAAACAAAAGAGAAGAAAUAUUCAAGACCGAGCACAUGGGUCUUUGUGGGAAGGAGGUUAACUUCCACUCUUGUUAUGGCAUGAAUAUGACUUGAUCUUGCUGGAACUCAUGUUGGAGUUUAAUUCUCAUUGUGUGGAAUUGAGAGGGUAGAACUUAACCCAGCUAUAGUGUUUAAAGAUGGAGGCUUGGGGCAGGAAAGUUGUCUCAACAGUUAAGAGCACUGGCUACCCUUUCAGAGGAUCUAGCUUUGAUUCCUAGCCCCCACACAGAGGCUCACAACUGACUAUACCGCCAGUUCCCGGGGAUCUGACAUUCUCUGGCCUUGGUAGACAAAUGGUGGACAGACAUUCAUGUAGGCAAAACACCCAAGCAUAUAAAUUAAUAAAAAUGUGAAAUGUAUUUUUUAAAUGGUGGAAUCUUUGAGAGAUGAUUAGGGUUAAAUAAGGCCAUCAGUGUGAGACCCCGAGAGCCAAUCGGUUUAUGAGAAGAGCAUGGCAGGAAGAGGCCUGUGCCUGCUCCCUGUCCCCUGAGCUGUGAUUCCCUGCUUCAAAACUGCCAGCAAGAAGGCCAUCAGCAGAUGCGGCCCCUUGACCUUGGUGCACUGCCAGGAGCCAAAACAAACAUCCCUGUGACUCACCUGGCCUGAGGUAUUAUGCUGUUAGCAAGAGAAAACAGACAAGGAGAGCACACACUCAUGUGUCCAGAGCAUUGCUCUGCUCGUUUGUGCUUUGAUUUUGUCAUCUGUGGGGUGGAAAUGAUACACUCUCUUUCAGAACACUGCUGUGAAGGUUCAGGGUGUCAACCAAAAAGCUUGAAUGCCCUGAGUAUUGGGGAGAGAUGUAGGCACUACCAUAGUUCCCAAAUGUGUAGAGAAAAACAGUCAAAGAUUUAUGCACACAAAUAUCAGUGCUAGCACUGUUUAAGGAAAUAAACUUGAAAACAAAAUGACCAUAUGUGAAAUAUGGAGAAGACAAUGGAAGGUGACAUUGUGCUUCAUGAAAAAGUCUGCACUAAUCUUUCCCACUUGAAAUGAAUGAGACUGUUUAACAAUAAGAGGUGUCUAAGGAUAGAGAACCAGGAGGUCAAAACACUAACUAGUAGGGAUACAGCAACUUUCACUUGUCUCUUUUUGCUUAUAUGAAUAGAAAUAAGUGCAUGGUCAUAUGAUAUUUUAAACAAGAAGUGACAUGCUUGUUGAAAACCUAAUUGGAAGAGCAUCAAUUUGGCCACAUGCAGAAGGGAUUAAAGAGAAACCUGGAGGAACAAGGAGGGUAUGCAUUCAUUCUUAAUUCAAUGCCUGCUCUGUAUCCACACCGCUGCACAAAGGACCCAGGCUCUACAGAGUUAGGCAAGCAGAGGGAGCAAGGGCAGGCUAGCUCUGUUUCCAUACACACAGUUUCUUUGCAUCAGCCACAGCCUGCUCUCUGCCCUCUAUGAGAUGAAGUCAGGGCUCUACAAAGCUAAGUGUGGUGAUGAUGCACCUCAGGUCACACAGUUGACAACUGGAAAGGCAGCCUGUGUUGUCUUAGCAGAGCUUUGUGUCAGGGACUACGGGCUAUGACUCCUAGGGGCCAAAAAGGCCCCAUAGGGAGAGUCCUAUCUGAACUUAGACCCAGUUUACCUAUGAGACAAGGGCGAAAACAUAACGUCUACCACGACUGCUCAGGCCCAAGGCAGUAAAACUUGGACUUGGCAGUGAGAAUGGAAAAGAAGGGUCAAGGUUCAGAGGCAUCAUGAGGAAAAACUGGCUUCAGGCUCUGCAACCUGGGGAGCAGCAGUAACUCCCCAAAGGACUAAGGGUUCCAGGAAAGAAGGACAGAUUUCAGGGUGAAACAUUGGCUCAUUUGGCAUGAGUUAAUUUUCUACCUUCACAGAAGGGACGAUAAAGAGGCUAAGCCAAACUUCCUGUGGUAGGUAAGCCACAGUUGUACCCGUCUUUGUCCUCUUGAAGGAGAAGUAGGCUUUGAGUUUUACCGGCAUGAUUCUCCAGCACCGUCACCUUCCCCAGACCAUGGGCAGCUGAGGACAUUGGCUUCUGGAGACUCCUACCCUGGACAGACCUCACAUAGCGUCGUUUCUUAUCUGAGGUUGCUCCUUCCACCUCCGUGACUACUGAUCAACCAUAAUCCAAAAUAGUAAAUUUGUCUCCUCUCUUUCAAGAGAGAGCAGUUGUGUUCACAUACCUCUUGUUAUCUAACGCUGCUGCCACUGUUCAGCUUUAUUAUUAGUUUCUAUCUCUUACUGUACUGAAUUUAUAAACUAACAUUGUCAUAGGGUUGUGUGUAUAAAAAAAAUACCUGGUCUGUAUAGGGUUUAAUAUCAUCUGUUUCAGGAACUCACUGAAGGGUUUAGGAUGCACCACCUUUGGGAAAAGGGGCAUUGGUGUUUUGUGAAUUUGCAUUGUAAAUCAAAGCAGAACCAGCAUCCAAAGGCUCACACACACCUUAAGACACACAUAGCUUGCACAUAGUAGGCCUCUAUUCACUAGGCUAUAGCUGCAGCCCUUUCAGAAGCUUUGUUUUGAGGAAUCUGGGGAGAUAGUUUAGUUGGUCAAGUGCUUGGCCUGCAAGCCUGAAGCCCUGAGUUCAUUCCCUGGAACCCAUAUUUAAAAAACAAAACAGGCAUGGCAUGAUGACCACGUUUAUAAUCUGGAUGCUUGGCAAGUGAGGAAGACAGAUCCAUGGGCCUUAGUGGCCAGCAAAAUUAAGUUACCGGACAAGCUCCAGGCCAGCAGUGAGCCCUGUCUACAGAAGAAAAAAAAAGCAGAGGGGAGCCAGAGAGAUGUAGACAUGGAGUCCAGAAAUCAUCAGGGUCUCUCACCAAGACUGAGUCCUCUCAUGGAGUCCAGAAUUCAGCAGGGUCUCUCACCAAGAUUGAGUCCUUUCAUGGAGUCCAGAAAUCAGCAGGGUCUCUCACCAAGACUGAGUCUUCUGGAGACCUGAGUUCCUCACCUACAAGGUGGAGAUAACCAUCUGCAUUGCAGAGGACUGUUGCGAGCAUUAGAGAGCACAAAUAAGGAGCUGAUGAGAUGGCCUGGUGGGUAAGAGCACUGGCUGUUCUUCCAGAGGACCUGGGUUUGGCUCUCAGGAACCACAUCAGUCAUUUCACAACCAGCUAUAGCUCCAGUGGGUACCUGUCCUGUCCACAUGUAGUACACACACACACACACACACACACACACACACACACACACACACAAGUUAAUGGCAGAAUACUGGGGGGGGGGAGGUUAGUUAAUGCCAGAAUAUUUUUAGUUGCCUCAGAUAUGGAGCAGCACUUCUAAGUAUGGCAUUAAAACCCAGAGCAUGAAAACAAAAGGGAAUUCAUCUACAAAGUGUUACAAAUGACAGUUUGGAGGGAAAAUUUAAAAAAACAAACACUAGAGGGAAAAAUUUUCUAUUCAUAUCACAAAAAGUGUAUUUCUUUCCUUUUUUUCUAGGUUGGGGAGUUGGCCUAGGGCUUCCCUCAUGCUAGACAGGCACUUGAACACUGAGAUACACUCCUAGCUCCCCUUUCUUAUGACUGCUAAGAGAAAUCCAAAAUAUUGAUAAGAAAAAAGCCGACAAAUACAAAGGGCUCUUCACCACAAAAACAGAUGCCCAACUUCUGCUAACAGAGGCAAACAAACGCAUGAGCGACAUGUUUCAACACUCAGGUUGGGCGGACGGCAGACAGUCUGAGAGUACCUGUCGUCUGCUGUGCACUGUCUCAGGUGGGGAGGUGCAGAGGUUGCAGAGCCUUGAAUGUAGCAGAGCAUGGAAGGUCGAUUCAGCGACGGGACGCCAUGGUCUGUCUUGUGAGUGUUUUUAGGAAUGUCCCUGCAGGUGCACACCAGCAUGGGUAGAGAGGAAAGACAUCAAGGGUUGUAUUGGUUGGGCUCUUGUUUAAAGUAUUACACUAAGCUACGUAUGUACGAAGCCAUGAUAGGGCUAGUUAAAUUCUGGCACAUCCAUAUCAUGAAAGAGUUUAGCUGUUAAGCUAGGCAAGGGAGUUAAGGAUGGAUAAGAUUUGUCGAUAAAUCACAGUAAAGAUAAUGGUCACUGGGCUGGCUAACUUGUCUACAUCUGAAAUUAACUGAAACCCAUGGCUGGUCACACCUGUGAGGGAUUUUUGCUUCACUGAGUCAUUUGAAGUGAGGAGAGCCACUUCUGAUCCAGCUCUUUGAGGUGGGAGGACCUGCCUUUAAUCUGGGCCCCACCACCUGCUGGCGGCCUAGACAAAGGACCCAGGAGCAGGAAGAGUGCUCUGCCUGCUGGUUUUCAUUCUCCAUAGUCCGUUCCUUUGCUGGCAUUAGAGCCUACUUCUUCGGAUUCUGGCGUACACUGAAGAACAGUUGAGACAUCCAGUUGAGACAUCCAGCCUCGUGGACUGAAGAACUGCUGGGUUCUUGGACCUUCUGUUGACAGAAAGUUGGACCACAGCCUGUAAGUCAUUCUAAUACAACCCCACAUUGUGUG
This is a non-coding RNA of Peromyscus maniculatus bairdii (prairie deer mouse), 11878 nucleotides long. NCBI's taxonomy places the organism in Eukaryota, Metazoa, Chordata, Mammalia, Rodentia, Cricetidae. The record is from RefSeq and is a predicted model, not a curated record.